RNAcentral lists this ribosomal RNA (426 nucleotides) under uncultured prokaryote. RNAcentral describes it as "bacterial SSU rRNA". It matches the Rfam family "Bacterial small subunit ribosomal RNA", at positions 355 to 774 of the family's 1533-position model. The record is from RNAcentral.
UGGGGAAUCUUGCGCAAUGGGCGAAAGCCUGAUGCAGCAACGCCGCGUGGAGGAAGAAGGCCUUCGGGUUGUAAACUCCUGUCAGGGGGAAAGAAGGCACCUGGGUGAAUAGACAAAGGGCUGACGGUACCCCCAGAGGAAGCCACGGCUAACUACGUGCCAGCAGCCGCGGUAAUACGUAGGUGGCGAGCGUUGUCCGGAAUUAUUGGGCGUCAAGAGCGCGUAGGCGGCUUGCCAGGUCCGACGUGAAACCCCGGGGCUCAACUCCGGACGUGCAUCGGAAACCGGCUUGCUAGAGUCUGGGAGAGGGGAGUGGAAUUCCUGGUGUAGCGGUGAAAUGCGCAGAUAUCAGGAGGAAUACCGGUAGCGAAGGCUGCUCCCUGGAACAGUACUGACGCUGAGGCGCGAAAGCUAGGGGAGCGAACA